AUUGAACGCUGGCGGCAGGCUUAACACAUGCAAGUCGAGCGGGGGAAGGUAGCUUGCUACCGGACCUAGCGGCGGACGGGUGAGUAAUGCUUAGGAAUCUGCCUAUUAGUGGGGGACAACAUCUCGAAAGGGAUGCUAAUACCGCAUACGUCCUACGGGAGAAAGCAGGGGAUCUUCGGCCCUUGGGCUAAUAGAUGAGCCGAGGUCGGAUUAGCUAGUUGGUGGGGUAAAGGCCUACCAAGGCGACGCUCUGUAGCGGGUCUGAGAGGAUGAUCCGCCACACUGGGACUGAGACACGGCCCAGACUCCUACGGGAGGCAGCAGUGGGGAAUAUUGGACAAUGGGGGGAACCCUGAUCCAGCCAUGCCGCGUGUGUGAAGAAGGCCUUAUGGUUGUAAAGCACUUUAAGCGAGGAGGAGGCUACUCUAGUUAAUACCUAGGGAUAGUGGACGUUACUCGCGGAAUAAGCACCGGCUAACUCUGUGCCAGCCGCCGCGGUAA
Molecule: ribosomal RNA, 501 nt
Filed under: uncultured bacterium
Lineage: Bacteria
Description: partial 16S ribosomal RNA
Rfam family: Bacterial small subunit ribosomal RNA
Source: RNAcentral